UACGGGGGGUGCAAGCGUUGUUCGGAAUUACUGGGCGUAAAGGGCUCGUAGGCGGCCAACUAAGUCAUACGUGAAAUCCCUCAGCUUAACUGGGGAACUGCGUGUGAUACUGGAUGGCUUGGAUUUGGGAGAGGGAUGCGGAAUUCCAGGUGUAGCGGUGAAAUGCGUAGAUAUCUGGAGGAACACCGGUGGCGAAGGCGGCAUCCUGGACCAAUAUUGACGCUGAGGAGCGAAAGCCAGGGGAGCAAACGGG
This 253-nucleotide ribosomal RNA is filed under the name uncultured bacterium. RNAcentral's name for it is "partial 16S ribosomal RNA". It matches the Rfam family "Bacterial small subunit ribosomal RNA", at positions 524 to 776 of the family's 1533-position model. The record is from RNAcentral.